This is a non-coding RNA of Phrynosoma platyrhinos (Desert horned lizard), 72 nucleotides long. NCBI's taxonomy places the organism in Eukaryota, Metazoa, Chordata, Lepidosauria, Squamata, Phrynosomatidae. The record is from the annotation of a GenBank genome assembly.
GACAGUGUGGCAUAGCGGUUUGAGUGUUGGAUCAUGACUUUUGAGACCAGAGUUUGAAUCUCUGCUCGGCCA